RNAcentral lists this ribosomal RNA (224 nucleotides) under uncultured bacterium. Its description in RNAcentral is "partial 16S ribosomal RNA". It matches the Rfam family "Bacterial small subunit ribosomal RNA", at positions 326 to 538 of the family's 1533-position model. The record is from RNAcentral.
ACGUUCGACACCUACGAGAGGCAGCAGUAGGGAAUCUUCCACAAUGGACGCAAGUCUGAUGGAGCAACGCCGCGUGAGUGAAGAAGGUUUUCGGAUCGUAAAGCUCUGUUGUUGGUGAAGAAGGAUAGAGGUAGUAACUGGCCUUUAUUUGACGGUAAUCAACCAGAAAGUCACGGCUAACUACGUACCAGCAGCCGCGGUAAUCUGAGCGGGCGUGGCAAGGC